Molecule: ribosomal RNA, 484 nt
Filed under: uncultured bacterium
Lineage: Bacteria
Description: partial 16S ribosomal RNA
Rfam family: Bacterial small subunit ribosomal RNA
Source: RNAcentral
AUUGAACGCUGGCGGCAGGCCUAACACAUGCAAGUCGAGCGGAUGAAGGGAGCUUGCUCCUGGAUUCAGCGGCGGACGGGUGAGUAAUGCCUAGGAAUCUGCCUGGUCGUGGGGGAUAACGUCAGGAAACGGGCGCUAAUAUCGCAUACGUCCUGAGGGAGAAAGUGGGGGAUCUUCGGACCUCACGCUAUUAGAUGAGCCUAGGUCGGAUUAGCUAGUUGGUGGGGUAAAGGCCUACCAAGGCGACGAUCCGUAACUGGUCUGAGAGGAUGAUCAGUCACACUGGAACUGAGACACGGUCCAGACUCCUACGGGAGGCAGCAGUGGGGAAUAUUGGACAAUGGGCGAAAGCCUGAUCCAGCCAUGCCGCGUGUGUGAAGAAGGUCUUCGGAUUGUAAAGCACUUUAAGUUGGGAGGAAGGGCAGUAAGUGAAUACCUUGCUGUUUUGACGUUACCAACAGAAUAAGCACCGGCUAACUUCGUG